UGGAGUCCUGAGCAUGGUGUUUAUGGCUUCUUGAUCUUUAUCAGUUUCCUAAAGCAUGAGUGGAAUUCAAAGCAAUCAAAACGGGACCCCAGGUACCAAGCCCUGUUUUACUGGUGUGGCCCCACCGUAACCACAGUGAGGCUCUGUCUGGGAUCUACGGUUAGGGUCUCUCAAAAUAGUGCCGGGGAAGCUGAGGUUGGCCCUCACUCUACAGCGGGGAAAACCAAGGCCCAGUGAGAUUCCAGCAGAACCCGGAAGUAGAGCUUAGCACUGGAGGCUGGCAUAUCUGCCUUUCCCCAUCUUGACUGUUUCUCACAGUUGCCUUUUCUUUCUAUCAUUCACUCGCUAAAUACUUAAAGACUGGCUUUAUCUUUUAUUAUUUAUAUUCAUUAAAAAAACAAUGUGAACUGAAAAGUGAAACCUUUCUCUACCCUUAUAACAGGCAGUCUUGUGGUCCACCAGGGGCUCUGCUUCUCCCCACCCAGCCCUGGGAGUCCACCAUCGGUGUACCACAGUGUGUCAGACACGCUGAUGUUCCCUAAACUCUGCCCUCACAUUAUAUGGUGGACAGAGGACUUAGUCACAGUCUUCUGAUCUGCACUCACAAAGAUAUCUUGUGGUAGGCAUGAAAAUCAGUAUAAUUCACCAUUAUAUUUUACAGAUGAGGAUGCUGGGACUCCACGAGGUGAAGAGACUCAGAGGUACUGAGCUGACCCAAGAUAAGAGCGUGAGUCCUGCCUCUAGUCUUGGACUGUGUCUCUCCAAAGCAGUACCUGCUAUCUGACUCACAGGGAGCCCCUCUGGAUACAUAGCCUCAGCCCAUGCUGUGAGGGGCCCUCUGCUUACGGGCCCCCUGAAGCAAAUUCAGGUUGGAAGAGGGAGUACUGGGUCGAAGACAUGAGCAAGCAUCUCUUCUUUCUGAUUCUGGGCCCAUCAAGCAGCUUUCCAGAGGAAUCAGCCACGUGGUUUCUGUGAGCAGUCACAGUCAUCCCCUCUCAGUGGGGAAAAGAUGGGUAGGGGGGACCCUGAGCCCAGGCUGCCUGGUCUCCUAGAAAGUGACAGAGACCGUGUCCUCAGUGAUUCUCUGCAUCUCCCACUGCCCACCAGCUUUGUGCUGACCCUUCUCUCUGCAGGUGUGUGACUACUGUUCAGUACUGCCCACCGGGAACUAUUUUCUUCCACCAGCAAUGACCCACUGGAUCCUGGUUCCCAGUCUCUCAGUAAAAAUCCAAGUUGUGACAGCAGAGAGGAGGAACAUGACUGUUAAGAAGAAUGAAGAUUCCGCUGAGUCUGCAACUUCCCAGAAUGGAUGGAGGAAGCCAAGUCUGUGAGAAAGUGCUUCCGAACUCCAUGCCUCAAAUCCAACAACACCAGCACCCUGUGGUCCAAAUCCAGGAGCCUCCCCAAUCCCCACCCUCCUGUGAUACAAACCAGCAGAGGACUGGUGCAGUUGCCCAGCAGGCAGUGGCUGGACACAAAGGAACUGAACCUUGAAAACAUCAUGCAACACAGAAGACCACAUCCUCAGGUGCUUCCAUUCGUCUGAAAUGCCCAGAACUCACAAAGCUACGGAGGCGGAAGGUAGAUCAGUUUCUGCCUACCAGGGGGCAGGAGAGUGACUGCUCAGGAGCUCAAGGUUCCUUUGGGGGUGAUGGAAAUGUUGUAAAUGUCGACUAUACGGAUGACUGCACAACUUGGAAUAUACCAAAAACUCCGCACGCUUUAAAUGGGUGAACUGUACAGUACCUAAUUAUAUCUCAACAAAAUUCUUUUUUAAAGAGCAAAAGGAAACAUACUUUCCAGGUCAC
Long non-coding RNA from Dama dama (fallow deer), 1808 nucleotides. RefSeq lists it as uncharacterized. NCBI's taxonomy places the organism in Eukaryota, Metazoa, Chordata, Mammalia, Artiodactyla, Cervidae. The record is from RefSeq and is a predicted model, not a curated record. The transcript has 3 exons.